This is an RNA transcript of Cannabis sativa, 1656 nucleotides long. It is a transcript of the gene named RHOMBOID-like protein 1, with no coding region annotated. Lineage: Eukaryota; Viridiplantae; Streptophyta; Magnoliopsida; Rosales; Cannabaceae. The transcript is spliced from 7 exons. The record is from RefSeq and is a predicted model, not a curated record.
UCCUCUUUUGACCACGCAAAGCCUUAAAACAGUUAAACCUACUCCUUUCCUACUUCCCAUUCCCAUUCUCUCCCCUCUCUAAUCCAUUUUCUUCCUCCAAUGGCCGGAGACGGUCCGUCGGAGAUUCAGAUCCGGGUCAACUCACGUCGAAGUAGCAGCGGCGGCGGUGGCGUGGUUCAUCCAGUUGAGGUAGACACUCCUCAGCAGCUAACGUCUCCAACACCACCCGUAUAUCGAGAAGUAAAGCAUUUCAAGAAAUGGAUCCCUUGGUUAAUCCCUCUAUUUGUUAUUGCCAAUACUCUUAUGUUCAUAAUCACCAUGUACGUAAACAAUUGCCCUGAUAAUUCAGAUUCUUGUAUAGCUAAGUUCUUGGGUAGGUUCUCGUUUCAGCCUUUUAAAGAGAACCCUCUUCUGGGUCCGUCAUCCACUACGCUUCUAAGGAUGGGGGCUCUUGAUGUGACCAAAGUGGUGGAAGGUCACCAGGGAUGGCGUCUUAUUACUUGUAAUUGGUUACACGGAGGGCUUUUUCAUAUAUUGGCAAAUAUGUUGAGCCUUUUGGUUAUUGGUAUUCGGCUCGAGCAAGAAUUUGGAUUUGUCCGAAUCGGUUUGCUGUAUGUCAUUUCUGGAUUUGGUGGAAGUUUGUUCUCUGCACUUUUCCUCCAGUCAAACAUAUCUGUUGGUGCUUCCGGUGCUCUUUUUGGGUUAUUGGGAGGAAUGCUUUCUGAACUCAUCACCAAUUGGACAAUAUAUGUUAAUAAGUUUGCAGCACUUUUCACUCUUGUGGUCAUCAUAGCUAUUAACUUGGCAGUGGGAAUUCUUCCACAUGUGGACAACUUUGCUCAUCUUGGAGGGUUUCUUUCCGGUUUCCUUCUUGGGUUUGUGUUUCUCAUCCGGCCACAGUUUGGAUGGGUUAGCCAAAGGUAUACUCCAGGAUUUAUGUCACCAACACCACCUGUUCCAGCUAAAUCUAAAUUCAAGACAUAUCAAUGCAUAUUGUGGAUCGUUUCGCUUAUACUUUUGAUUGUUGGGCUAACAGUCGGGUUGGUUCUGCUACUCCGGGGAGUUGAUGCAAAUGAACAUUGUUCUUGGUGUCAUUAUUUGUCUUGUGUCCCAACCUCAAAAUGGAGCUGCAAGACUGAGCCUGCAUUCUGCUUGUCGAGUCAGAUGGGUAAUCAGCUCAACUUAACAUGCUCCAGCAACAACAAAACUAACAUAUAUACUGUGUUCAACCCCAGCAGUUCAAGGAUUCAGGGGUUAUGUACACAGCUCUGUGGUUGAUUAAACCAUUCAUUCGGUAGCUUCCUAUUGUAUAAUAUACUCUUGCAGAUUCCUGAGCUAUGUUAAGUUUUUAGGCACACUAUCUUUGCUUAUUCUGUAAUCAAAUAUUCGUAAGGCAAGGGAUUUCUAAGUCAAAGAAAUGGGUAAACUAAAGGGUAAGUUUUAAUUCAUUGUAACAUAACAACUGUAUUUUGUUUUAGAAUACAUUAAGAUUUGUUUGCUACGCCUUUAGAUCCUAUUGUAUUGUUUAUUUUAUUAAAUUUGGUUUUAUAUUAUAUUUUAUAUAGAACAUUAUUUACUAGUGGUGUCUAGCACUACUUAGAGGUCUUACUUUGUGAUUAGUUAGCGACAUUAUAUAAAAGUUAUCAUAUUAAAUUA